RNAcentral lists this ribosomal RNA (254 nucleotides) under uncultured bacterium. RNAcentral describes it as "partial 16S ribosomal RNA". It matches the Rfam family "Bacterial small subunit ribosomal RNA", at positions 524 to 776 of the family's 1533-position model. The record is from RNAcentral.
UACGGAGGGUGCGAGCGUUGUCCGGAAUCAUUGGGCGUAAAGGGCGCGUAGGUGGCACGAUCAGCGUGCGGUGAAAGCUCGGGGCUCAACCCCGGGUCGGCCGUGUGAACUAUCGAGCUGGAGCACUGUAGAGGCAGGCGGAAUUCCGGGUGUAGCGGUGGAAUGCGUAGAGAUCCGGAAGAACACCGGUGGCGAAGGCGGCCUGCUGGGCAGUAGCUGACACUGAGGCGCGGACAGCGUGGGGAGCAAACAGG